UUCCACCCCCUGUCCUUGGCAAACUGUGUCCAAAAGACUAGCCUAACAUCUCCAAGAAGUGACCUGAUGGCUCUGGGGGAAAGUGGAAGCAAUCCUCUCCUCCUUACUUCCCCCAGCACCCCUCAGGGGCAUCUACCCAGCUGCGUCUCCCUGUGGCCAAUCUCUGUUCUCUGCCAGAGGUGCAGACCCUGAACUUGCUGCCGGCCACCCCCAGAGGAGGCAGAGUUCUUUCCCUUGUUGAUCCGAACAAACAGUGUUCCGAAGUGUUUGCGAUGUACUGAAACUCAAGCAAUUCUUUUCUCAUUUUCAAGUUACCUAUUUGGAUCAUCAGUUUAGAGCUAGAAGUUUUUGAAGAGGACAAAUAACAUCAUGGGGUGGUCUUACCUUGAGAGUGAGCUGGAUUUAAGCAAAGCAGAGCUGCACAAAGUCAUCAGAGUCAUCAAAGUCCCAUGGCAAGACAAGUCAGGAUGACUGGGAAUGUCCUGGGAUGCAUUGGAAGACCUUGGCAUUUUCAGUGUCUCAUCAAACUCUAAUGGCUCCACAGUACCUGCUUCAGCCACCUUCAUGGCUAUUGGAACAAAUUGUUCUCAUCCAUCCAUUCCACCAGGGGAAGUGUUCACAUGCUCGGGGUAGACAUCUCGCUAACUCACUGAUGGGUUUGAGGCCUUUUAGUCAACCUCAUCCUGGUUUAGCCUGUCUGCUGAGGUGACUUACUGGGGUGUGACUGAGGUGUGUGCUGCAGCUUCGUGGAACCACAGGUGUGAGUUAGCUAAAGAUAGACACCAAAGGUGGAUGACAAGCCAUGAAAAGGGCUCAGCAAUUCCAGAAGUACUAGUCCUCACUGAAUAUCUCAUACAGAUAAGAAAUAGAGGCAAUCAUACAAUAUAAAACGGAUAGUGCUGAUUAUAUGGAAUUGAAAAGCGUCCGCACUAGCAAAAUCAAUGCAACUUGGACAAGAAGAGAAGUUGCUAAUUAAGGGGAAAACCUUUUAAUAAGAUAUAUCUCUGAUAAGGUUUGAUAUUCACAAUAUAUAGAGCUAAUGUACAUACAUACACAUAUGCACCUGCAUAUAUGCAUGUGUGUAGAUACAUACACAUACAUGUACACACACAUAAUAUACAUAUAUAUGUAUAUACAUGACUAAGAGUUCUUACCCAAUGUAUAAGUGCUGAAAGUAUAUGAUCAAACAGUUCUCAUGAAAGAACUAAAACUAUUAACUAGGUAAAGACUAUUCCCAAGUACACACUUUUUUAGGUCACACUUACUCUUAGUAAAUUGACAAUAUGACAAAAGAUGGGGAAUAGCUAAUGUUUGGGGUUGUUGAUAUAGCAUGUCCUAAAAAGUCUUAGCAUAAUUUUAAGCUUUAAUAUUUUAGAUAGCCACAUUAAAGUAGUAUAGCCUCAAUAUUAUACUGGAAGUGUAGAAAUUAAUUGAUUCAACCAUUCUGGGAAACAAUUUUUUAUUAUGUUAAAAAAAAAGUGACUACAAUGUCUACACUUUUUUACUAGAAUGCCCUAAAUUAUAAAUUUCUUGAAGGAAAGGACUGUGUUAUAUUAAUCUUUGCAUCCCCAUUGGGUAAUGUCUUGUUUAUGGUAAUAGAUGCUUGAGGUUGAAUUGGAAUGGGAUGGAA
Phascolarctos cinereus (koala) is the source of this 1630-nucleotide non-coding RNA. NCBI's taxonomy places the organism in Eukaryota, Metazoa, Chordata, Mammalia, Diprotodontia, Phascolarctidae. The record is from RefSeq and is a predicted model, not a curated record.